UACGGGGGGGGCAAGCGUUGUUCGGAAUUACUGGGCGUAAAGGGCUCGUAGGUGGCCAACUAAGUCAGACGUGAAAUCCCUCGGCUUAACCGGGGAACUGCGUCUGAUACUGGAUGGCUUGAGAUUGGGAGAGGGAUGCGGAAUUCCAGGUGUAGCGGUGAAAUGCGUAGAUAUCUGGAGGAACACCGGUGGCGAAGGCGGCUCUCUGGUCUGUAACUGACGCUGAGGCGCGAAAGCGUGGGGAGCGAACAGG
This 253-nucleotide ribosomal RNA is filed under the name uncultured bacterium. RNAcentral describes it as "partial 16S ribosomal RNA". It matches the Rfam family "Bacterial small subunit ribosomal RNA", at positions 524 to 776 of the family's 1533-position model. The record is from RNAcentral.